This is an RNA transcript of Cryptomeria japonica (Japanese cedar), 2513 nucleotides long. RefSeq lists it as uncharacterized. The record is from RefSeq and is a predicted model, not a curated record. The transcript is spliced from 2 exons. NCBI's taxonomy places the organism in Eukaryota, Viridiplantae, Streptophyta, Pinopsida, Cupressales, Cupressaceae.
UUGUCUUUAUUUGCGUUUAAACAAUGGACUUCAAUUGAUUCUUUUUUGGUUCUCCGCAUGUUUUACUACGGUGAUUUCACUGUAAUUCAAUGUAUUGCUGUAAGAGGCGUUUAUAAUAUCUGACCUAUCUGUAGGCAAUCGACGUAGGGCUUUUGCUGGAAAUUAUUACGUUGUGAGGGUAAUCCUCUGGGUGAGCCAGUAAAAAUAUUUGGAAUAAAUGAAAAACAUACCCCUGCUUCUGGACUGCAAAAAUCCAUUGUUUGUUAUGUUAACCUCUACCUGGCCACAAUGCAAUUCAUUGUACCAAAUCUAUGUUUAAGACGUCAGCCUGGAGAUUCUCUGUUGGUUUCAUGGUAAUUCUGGUUAAAUCAACAUUACUUUGCACUGGUUGCAAACAUAUCUAUCCGGGUCCUGGGUGCUAAGAUCUCUAAGAGUUGUUUAUUCAUAUUCGUUGGUCUGCCCAGCUUGGGAAAGACUUUGCUGGCCCAGACUAUCACUGGUGAGACUGGUGUGCCAUUUUCUCAUGUUCUGAUUCAGGAUUUGUGGAGCUUCUUGUUGUUGUUGGCAAUUCAGCAUUUGUGGCCAGGGGGAUUUGAUCUGCAGAUUGUUAUUGAGCCAGCUAUUGCAGAGAGAGCGAAGAUUCUUGAAGUAGGGACUCAGCUUUGAUUUUGUGGACUGCUUUUUGAUUUUGAGUUUUUUUUGCUGCAAUUAGAUUCAAGUGAGUUCUUUCACUGCAAUUAGCUUCAUUGAAAGUUUUUAAUGUUAAUAGGAUUCAAUGAAGUUAUUUUUUUGUUCUUUUUAAUGGUCAAAGCAUCGUAGACAUUGGUUGGGUAAAGUUCAUUUUGGCAUAGGCUACCAACAAUAAAAAAGAUGAAACCAUAAAUUUUUUAGGAUGGAAACGCUACUGCUGAUCAAGCACCUGGCUUUGAGAAAGGUUGGUAGGAUAUUUUAAAAAUCUUGUUGAUGAAAAACUGCCAUAUGUCUGUCAUUAUUGUUUUAGUGUAACUAAGUUUUCUGCUCCAUGGAUUUGUGCUGAUAAAAAAAAUGAAGUUGAAAUGAUGUUGGUACUAGGUCUUACAAGAAAGGAACUGAAGUCAGCAUCAGUAGAGUUUGAUAAUGCAAAAUUGCUUAGGAUUGCAUGUUGUAGUUUUCCAUGAGGUCCCAAGACAAGAAAGAAACUGAAGUCAGUGUCAUUAGAGUUUGAUGUAGCAAAAUUGCUUAGCAUUGCGUGUAGUAGUAGUGCCAUGAAGUUUCAUGCUCUAAGGAAAUACAAAUAUUAUAAUUUGCUUAAUGUGUAAGAGCCCCUAGGAAUUUAUGAGCAUGGUUAUGUGAUACCCUUUAGGACGGCAUUCCUUCCUACAUUUCAAGCCUACACGGACACUGGCAGCAGCCUUGUAAGGGUGCCAAGCUUGCAGAUCUCUAAUACAAAUUUCUUUGAAUGCAUAGAAUGUGAACAUAUUCAGUCAUACCUGCCUUUUUCCCUGUGAACUCACAUUCUAGUAAGCCUGAGCUCUGCACUGGCAAUCUCUAUUGAGAUAUACAUGCUUAAGAAAAUAAGUAUGAGCCAUGUAAUGCUGCUGGGUGUCCUCUGAGAACUUCAUGCCCACCAUUUUCAAACAAAAUGGGGAUGGCAUAUAACAGUUACCCUAACGAAGGACCAGCUCAUGCUUCAAGGCAUUCCCUUUCCAAAACAGUCCUAUAAUUCUGUUUUUGGGUGUGCAGGUGCCUUAAAUGAAGCAGUUUGUAUUGCAGGUUGUGAAAGGGUGCCCUGUUAUUCCCUUCAUUAUUGAGCUCAAUUUAGCUAUAAGGGAGUCUGUUAUUGUCUAAUAAGCACACAAUUCUAAGGUUUCCAAUCUUUUGAUAUUGGAUGCAUCUUUAAUCAUUGAUGGUGGAUUAAUGCAAUAUAGUGCCAUGCUAGACGAUGCUAUGUAUCCCAACUAUUACUGCAUUGAUAUCCAGAGAAUCAGUAUUGAUAACACAUAUCUAGAGAUCCCAGCACUUCACAGGAAAUAAUUGCUUAUUCCGGAUCUCAUGAAUAUGAAAAAUGCACUACUUUUGAUUUUUGCUAUCAGACAACCUCCUCACAAAACUAGCCAAGUUUCCCAUAUGCAUCAUUUCAUUUCAAAAAUAAUGUCAUGAUUUAACUUAUGAGAAUCACUUCUAUUCUUUCUCUCCUUCCUCAGUAACAUUUAAUAAUACUGCUUUAAAAGUGCAUUGCCUGCUGCUUCAAUGUGCAGAAGAUGUCGGAAUUGGGCCGGCUGCAAUCUUUGCCAACUUUUUGCAGCAAAAAUUUCAAGCUUCCUAUGAUAUGUAGAAGAUAAGAACUAGGUUUCAACCAAAGGAUUGUGUGGCUUCUGACCAUCUUUUUAAAGACAAUCGCGAUUGAUUGUCAAUAUAUAUCUUUGUACUUAUGGUAGGAAGAUUUUCUGUUCAACAUGAGAUGUCUGUUAUCUUUCUCGUUCUAAUGGAUUUUGUAUUCUGAAUCAUUGAGGUAUCUAAAUCCUCUAUCAAAC